This 1407-nucleotide ribosomal RNA is filed under the name uncultured bacterium. Its description in RNAcentral is "partial 16S ribosomal RNA". It matches the Rfam family "Bacterial small subunit ribosomal RNA". The record is from RNAcentral.
AGAGUUUGAUUCUGGCUCAGGAUGAACCCUAGUGGCAGCGCUUAACACAUGCAAGUCGAGGGGCAGCGGGGAGGAAGCUUGCUUUCUCCGCCGGCGACCGGCGCACGGGUGAAGUAACACGUAUGCAACCUGCCCCUGUCAGGGGGACAACCCGCCGAAAGGCGGGCUAAACCCGCGUACAUGCCACCGGGGCAUCCCGGAGGCAGGAAAGGCUUCGGCCGGACAGGGAUGGGCAUGCGGCGCAUUAGGCAGUAGGCGGGGUAACGGCCCACCUAACCGACGAUGCGUAGGGGUUCUGAGAGGAAGGUCCCCCACACUGGUACCGAGACACGGACCAGACUCCUACGGGAGGCAGCAGUGAGGAAUAUUGGUCAAUGGUCGGGAGACUGGACCAGCCAAGCCGCGUGAGGGAUGAAGGUACAGAGUAUCGUAAACCUCUUUUGUCAGGGAACAAAGGCGGGGACGCGUCCCCGGAUGAGUGUACCUGAAGAAAAAGCAUCGGCUAACUCCGUGCCAGCAGCCGCGGUAAUACGGAGGAUGCGAGCGUUAUCCGGAUUUAUUGGGUUUAAAGGGUGCGCAGGCGGUCUGUUAAGUCAGCGGUCAAAGCCCGGGGCUCAACCCCGGCCCGCCGUUGAAACUGGCAGUCUCGAGUUGGAGAGAAGUAUGCGGAAUGCGCGGUGUAGCGGUGAAAUGCAUAGAUAUCGCGCAGAACUCCGAUUGCGAAGGCAGCAUGCCGGCUCCACACUGACGCUGAGGCACGAAAGCGUGGGGUAUCGAACAGGAUUAGAUACCCUGGUAGUCCACGCAGUAAACGAUGAAUGCUGGCUGUCCGGGGGGAUUGACCCCUGGGUGGCGAAGCGAAAGCGAUAAGCAUUCCACCUGGGGAGUACGCCGGCAACGGUGAAACUCAAAGGAAUUGACGGGGGCCCGCACAAGCGGAGGAACAUGUGGUUUAAUUCGAUGAUACGCGAGGAACCUUACCCGGGCUCAAACGGGGAGUGACUCAGGCAGAGACGCCUGUUUCCCACGGGACACUCCCCGAGGUGCUGCAUGGUUGUCGUCAGCUCGUGCCGUGAGGUGUCGGCUUAAGUGCCAUAACGAGCGCAACCCCCGCGUGCAGUUGCUAACAGAUAACGCUGAGGACUCUGCACGGACUGCCGGCGCAAGCCGCGAGGAAGGCGGGGAUGACGUCAAAUCAGCACGGCCCUUACGUCCGGGGCGACACACGUGUUACAAUGGGUGGUACAGCGGGAAGCCAGGCGGCGACGCCGAGCGGAACCCGAAAUCCACUCUCAGUUCGGAUCGGAGUCUGCAACCCGACUCCGUGAAGCUGGAUUCGCUAGUAAUCGCGCAUCAGCCAUGGCGCGGUGAAUACGUUCCCGGGCCUUGCACACACCGCCCGUCAAG